CGGAAAAGAUAAGUGCUGAAAGCAUCUAAGCACGAAACUUGCCCCGAGAUGAGUUCUCCCUGAGACUUAGAGUCUCCUGAAGGAACGUUGAAGACGACGACGUUGAUAGGCCGGGUGUGUAAGCACAGCGAUGCGUUGAGCUAACCGGUACUAAUGAACCGUGAGGCUUAACCUUACAACGCCGAAG
RNAcentral lists this ribosomal RNA (187 nucleotides) under Salmonella enterica. Its description in RNAcentral is "partial 23S ribosomal RNA". It matches the Rfam family "Bacterial large subunit ribosomal RNA", at positions 2756 to 2925 of the family's 2925-position model. Lineage: Bacteria; Pseudomonadati; Pseudomonadota; Gammaproteobacteria; Enterobacterales; Enterobacteriaceae. The record is from RNAcentral.